Molecule: microRNA, 22 nt
Filed under: Sycon ciliatum
Lineage: Eukaryota; Metazoa; Porifera; Calcarea; Leucosolenida; Sycettidae
Description: sci-miR-7642-3p
Source: miRBase by way of RNAcentral
UGGACGUGCCGUCACAAGAUGC